AGUCGAGCGAACAGACGAGGAGCUUGCUCCUCUGACGUUAGCGGCGGACGGGUGAGUAGCACGUGGAUAACCUACCUAUAAGACUGGGAUAGCUUCGGGAAACCGGAGCUAAUACCGGAUAAUAUAUUGAACCGCAUGGUCCAAUAGUGAAAGACGGUUUUGCUGUCACUUAUAGAUGGAUCCGCGCCGCAUUAGCUAGUUGGUAAGGUAACGGCUUACCAAGACAACGAUGCGUAGCCGACCUGAGAGGGUGAUCGGCCACACUGGAACUGAGACACGGUCCAGACUCCUACGGGAGGCAGCAGUAGGGAAUCUUCCGCAAUGGGCGAAAGCCUGACGGAGCAACGCCGCGUGAGUGAUGAAGGUCUUCGGAUCGUAAAACUCUGCUACUAGGGAAGAACAAAUGUGUAAGUAACUAUGCACGUCUUGACGGUACCUAAUCAGAAAGCCACGGCUAACUACGUGCCAGCAGCCGCGGUAAUACGUAGGUGGCAAGCGUUAUCCGGAAUUAUUGGGCGUAAAGCGCGCGUAGGUGGUUUUUUAAGUCUGAUAUGAAAGCCCACGGCUCAACCGUGGAGGGUCAUUGGAAACUGGAAAACUUGAGUGCAGAAGAGGAAAGUGGAAUUCCAUGUGUAGCGGUGAAAUGCGCAGAGAUAUGGAGGAACACCAGUGGCGAAGGCGACUUUCUGGUCUGUAACUGACGCUGAUGUGCGAAAGCGUGGAGAUCAAACAGGAUUAGAUACCCUGGUAGUCCACGCCGUAAACGAUGAGUGCUAAGUGUUAAGGGGUUUCCGCCCCUUAGUGCUGCAGCUAACGCAUUAAGCACUCCGCCUGGGGAGUACGACCGCAAGGCUGAAACUCAAUGGAAUUGACGGGGACCCGCGCAAGCGGUGGAGCAUGUGG
RNAcentral lists this ribosomal RNA (903 nucleotides) under uncultured bacterium. RNAcentral describes it as "bacterial SSU rRNA". It matches the Rfam family "Bacterial small subunit ribosomal RNA", at positions 60 to 944 of the family's 1533-position model. The record is from RNAcentral.